RNAcentral lists this ribosomal RNA (776 nucleotides) under uncultured Neocallimastigales. Its description in RNAcentral is "partial large subunit ribosomal RNA". It matches the Rfam family "Eukaryotic large subunit ribosomal RNA", at positions 26 to 640 of the family's 3401-position model. The record is from RNAcentral. Lineage: Eukaryota; Fungi; Neocallimastigomycota; Neocallimastigomycetes; Neocallimastigales.
CGCAUCUGUGCAUGCAGCAUAUCAAUAAGCGGAGGAAAAGAAACUAACAAGGAUUCCCUUAGUAACGGCGAGUGAAGCGGGAAGAGCUCAAAUUUGAAAUCUUCAAGGUUUUACCUUGACGAAUUGUAGUUUAAAGAAGUGUUUUCUGUUGAAGUUUUGGUAAAAGUUCUUUUUGGAAUUAGGACAUCAUAGAGGGUGAGAAUCCCGUAUUUGACCAUUAUUUUCAGCUGUGUGAUACACUUUCAAAGAGUCGGAUUGUUUGGGAAUGCAGUCCAAAAUGGGUGGUAAAUUUCAUCUAAAGCUAAAUAUUGGCGAGAGACCGAUAGCGAACAAGUACCGUGAGGGAAAGAUGAAAAGAACUUUGAAAAGAGAGUUAAACAGUACGUGAAAUUGUCAAAAGGGAAGCGUUUGACACCAGUGUUGUUUUCUCGAAAAUCAAUUAAAAAGAGUUAGAUUUUGUUGUGUAUUGACCUUAACAGCUUGCAUUUCAAUUUUCUUGCUUUUUUUAGUGCACUUUUCGUUUAACAAGUCAACAUCAGUUUCUUUUGUUGUAAAAAGGUCAUUGGAAGGUGGCUUUCUUUUCGGAGAAAGUGUUUAUAGCCUUUGACUCCUGCAAUCGGAGAGACUGAGGUCUGCAGCGUAGAUCCUUCGGGGUUAGAUACAUUUGUGCUAAGUUAUAGCUUUUUAUAGACAACUUGUUGACUAUGAUUAGUCUUGUAGCUUACUCGCUUAUGCUAUUUUACCUACGCUUAGGAUGUUGACGCGCGUGUGUGCGU